RNAcentral lists this ribosomal RNA (1109 nucleotides) under Paenarthrobacter nitroguajacolicus. RNAcentral describes it as "bacterial SSU rRNA". It matches the Rfam family "Bacterial small subunit ribosomal RNA", at positions 56 to 1181 of the family's 1533-position model. The record is from RNAcentral. Lineage: Bacteria; Bacillati; Actinomycetota; Actinomycetes; Micrococcales; Micrococcaceae.
UGCAGUCGAACGAUGAUCCCAGCUUGCUGGGGGAUUAGUGGCGAACGGGUGAGUAACACGUGAGUAACCUGCCCUUGACUCUGGGAUAAGCCUGGGAAACUGGGUCUAAUACCGGAUAUGACCAUCUGGCGCAUGUCAUGGUGGUGGAAAGCUUUUGCGGUUUUGGAUGGACUCGCGGCCUAUCAGCUUGUUGGUGGGGUAAUGGCCUACCAAGGCGACGACGGGUAGCCGGCCUGAGAGGGUGACCGGCCACACUGGGACUGAGACACGGCCCAGACUCCUACGGGAGGCAGCAGUGGGGAAUAUUGCACAAUGGGCGAAAGCCUGAUGCAGCGACGCCGCGUGAGGGAUGACGGCCUUCGGGUUGUAAACCUCUUUCAGUAGGGAAGAAGCGAAAGUGACGGUACCUGCAGAAGAAGCGCCGGCUAACUACGUGCCAGCAGCCGCGGUAAUACGUAGGGCGCAAGCGUUAUCCGGAAUUAUUGGGCGUAAAGAGCUCGUAGGCGGUUUGUCGCGUCUGCUGUGAAAGACCGGGGCUCAACUCCGGUUCUGCAGUGGGUACGGGCAGACUAGAGUGCAGUAGGGGAGACUGGAAUUCCUGGUGUAGCGGUGAAAUGCGCAGAUAUCAGGAGGAACACCGAUGGCGAAGGCAGGUCUCUGGGCUGUAACUGACGCUGAGGAGCGAAAGCAUGGGGAGCGAACAGGAUUAGAUACCCUGGUAGUCCAUGCCGUAAACGUUGGGCACUAGGUGUGGGGGACAUUCCACGUUUUCCGCGCCGUAGCUAACGCAUUAAGUGCCCCGCCUGGGGAGUACGGCCGCAAGGCUAAAACUCAAAGGAAUUGACGGGGGCCCGCACAAGCGGCGGAGCAUGCGGAUUAAUUCGAUGCAACGCGAAGAACCUUACCAAGGCUUGACAUGAACCGGUAAUACCUGGAAACAGGUGCCCCGCUUGCGGUCGGUUUACAGGUGGUGCAUGGUUGUCGUCAGCUCGUGCCGUGAGAUGUUGGGUUAAGUCCCGCAACGAGCGCAACCCUCGUUCUAUGUUGCCAGCCCGUUAUGGCGGGGACUCAUAGGAGACUGCCGGGGUCACUCGGAGGAAGUGGGGACG